This is a non-coding RNA of Triticum aestivum (bread wheat), 125 nucleotides long. NCBI's taxonomy places the organism in Eukaryota, Viridiplantae, Streptophyta, Magnoliopsida, Poales, Poaceae. The record is from Rfam.
CUUGUACUCCCUCCGUUCGAAAAUACUUGUCGCAGAGAUGGAUGUAUCUAGACGUAUUUAAGUUUUAGAUACAUUUAUUUUUAUCUAUUUCCCCGACAAGUAUUUCCGGACGGAGGGAGUAUAAG